AAUUUAUGGGAUGAUGACGUCGUUUGGGAUAGAGGUAUGGAAAAAACUGCAUUAUGUCCAAAACUUUACUACAGUGGAGCCAGUCAACAUGUGUACAACUUAACACCUAACAAAAAUGGCUCCAAAAAGUAUACAUAGCACUAUUUCUGUUCAUCCCAUCUGAAUGGAAAAUUUUACUUAGCUGGUAAUUCUCAAAAUGUUUUGUUGACUCAGGGAAGGGGAAACAUAUUUUACAUGCACAGAAUGCUUCAGAACUUUUCUGCUCGGCUACCAAUCUGCCAUGUAGGUUGAUAAUCAAAGUCCUAAAGUACAGUUUAGUUCUUUGGGCCUACAGGGACACCUUGUUGACUAACUGGCUUCAGCCAAUUUUUUUCAGUUCACACACAAGAUCAAUUUCUUUGUCAGCAAAUACCUUUUAGAAAAAGUACACUACAAACACACUUGGAAAACAUUUUAUUAAGUACUGUAUAAACAGCUAUUUAGAUAAUAAUUGCAUAGAACUAUACCAAGGUAAUUGUGUCUUUAAGGAACAACUACCAAGUGAACAAGAUGAGCAAAGUCCUCUAUUAUACAAGAUUUCCUUCGGUGGAACAUUAUGGUGACAAAGCAGCGUAAUGGGCUCUUAAGCAGAUUGAUUUUUAUCAAACUGGACAUAUCAGAAUUCCUUAUGUAUAAGAGAAAUAUGCACAUGCUCCUUUCAAGAAAAGAGUGAUAACCCACCAUGGAAUUACCUCCAGUUUAAACAUGUACUCUUGACUGCCAAAAAUAUCGAGAUAUGUUAAGCAAGAUAAAGCAGCAGAACACGCUUUAAAAUAUGUUGAUCUCUUUCUGUAAUCUACAUGUUAAUAUUAAAUGUUCUUAUCCUUGGCA
Homo sapiens (human) is the source of this 870-nucleotide long non-coding RNA. NCBI's taxonomy places the organism in Eukaryota, Metazoa, Chordata, Mammalia, Primates, Hominidae. The record is from Ensembl.